GGAGGAGAUGAGGGAGUUGGAGGAGCCUGAUUCAGGCGAAGGUCAUAACAUAGGGGUUUUUUUCCAACACUGUUUUUACUACAGGAUUCCCCAAGGGCGCAGGUGCAUCUCUUCCUUUGCAGCCCCAUUCUGGUGCCAUUUCUCUUGCCGUUUGCCAAGAGAGUAACUGGGAACAAUGGUAAGAACUGACCGGGCAGCAGUACUAUCACUUCUAGAAGAGGCUGGCUGAGUAAUGAGCUGCUUCAUUAGCUUCCCAGCAGGUUGGUCACUGUUGCUCACCUGGAAGUGGAGGGGUUGGUGGCAGGGAGCUCAGUGCGAUGGGAAUGCAUUGGCAGAGCUUAUUUAGCACUCCUGCUGGUUCAUUUGCAGCUCACCAACCUCCUUGCUACCGCCCAGUAAGCAACAGCAACAGGUGGCUCCUCUGACUGCUUCUGUAGGAGCCCUCCUCUUGUUUGGGGUGGCUGCACAAAACCAGUGCUUCCAUUGCUUCUGUCGCAUCAUCCACUUUGAGUAAUAUGGAUGUGGCUUCUAUCAGGCAGAGUCCUAGAAAGGUAUUGGAUGGUUUGUUAGAAGUCUCCAACUGUAGAGCAGAGCCAUCUGCCAUGUGGAAUUAAGAUCAUUCCGCGAGGCUAGGUCCUGGGUAUACGAGCUACAUUGAACAUUUAGCAUAUCCAUAAAAUGUAUCUGGAGGAGGUAAAAUCUUUCCCGUAAAGCUUGGUUUUUCACCCACACGUGGAUUUAAUUUUGAUGGAUAAAUGAUGGCAGCGAUACCGGCUGGCUUGAAACCAGCUCUGGAUUUAUCUUUUGGAGAGUGAGGUUUUCACUGUAACUUGGUUCUCGUGCAAAUAUUUACUUAUUCAGAAGUGUUACCGUAACAUCAAAGAACAUCAUAACCUGGAAAAUAACUUCAGAGCUUUUUUUCACAACCCCCCUAGGCUAUUAUGCAUUGAAAAAUUGGGCACAUUUUAUUGGGGCAGGCAAAAUGUCGAACAGCAUAUAUACAGUGAUUAGGCCUGGCGUAUUGCAAGCCUGAUCUGUGUAUAAAUAGGCAAGAAUGAGUCAAAGACGUUAGCUGAGCGUUCGAUGGUAAAAUACAGAGCUGAAAUGAAACUGCUUAGCUUGUUUAAUAAAUGCUGAAAUGCCCUGCUUGCUUUGGAGUUUUCUGAACUCCUUAGUACAUUUUUUGUUUUCUCUCUUCUUUGCCAUCAUUCUACUUGACUUCAUUCGCCCACAUCGUUUUUUGAUCGUAUUGACUGUGAUGAGCCACACGAUUUUGUUGGUGCCACAAUGUGCAUUUCACAAAUGAUGUCAAGGGCAUGCCUAAAUACUUAUUAUCUGUUUUCUACUCCUGGUAACUGAUUUUGCCAGGCAUAACCAUCUCUACUCACUGUUCAUGUGAUCUCGAACUCAGGAGCAUCUUCUCCUGUACCCUCCGGUGGUGCGAUGGGUCGAUGUGUUUGGCUGUUAACCAGAAGGUUGGUGGUUCAAGUCCACCCAAGAAUGGCUGUGGGCAGGAUUCUUGCAUUGUGAGGAGUUGGACUUGAUGACCCUCUGAAACCCUUCCAACUCCACAAAUUAAAAAUAGUUGAUAAAAUAAUUGAUUUUAAAACAAGUUAAAACCAAUUAAAACUAAAUUAAAACCACAUGAUCUGCGGAGCCCCAGAGCCAGCUAUCUGACCAGUUGCCAUCUUAACCAGAGGUCCAGCCUUCUUAUUUUCACAUCACCCAUCUCUAUAAUUCUAUGAUUCUAUGUUCCUCCCUGCUAUCUGAAACCUGUGAAUGAGGCCUUGCUACAUAUUCUUUCACACAAUGAAUUUAGAUUGUUUAGGCCCAUGGAGCAGGUCCUUUUCUGUGGUGGCACUGACACUGUGGAAAAUUCACAGUGAACAUUCAUUAGUCUUAACUCCUACCAUUCAAAUGGAAAACUGCUUCUUUUAUUCCGCAGAGCCUUUUAGCUACUGUGACUUGAUUUUGAGCAGAGAUUUCAGAUUGCCUUUAUUGUCUUAGCUGAAAUUUACAGCCUUUUACAUUUUGCUUUUAGUAAUGAAAUAUAAUUCACAUUGAUAUGUGUAGCUUGAUCUGUGGUGGUUCAUUCACACAAACAAUACAUCAUUUGAUGCUAUAGUCAACAAGUGAUGAAUAUUGCCUGUCUGAACCAGCCCCUGGUUUCCCUUUCUCAUCCUCUCCUUCAAGAUCCGAGAAGGCAGGAUACUUUAUGAAAGAGGAACUCAAAACAGAGCAAUGCAAAUGCUGUUUCAUUAUACUGUAGUAUUGAACGACAGCUGGCAGAGCAAGAGGAAUAAUUUAUUAGGAUUACAAAAUUGCUUUGGUGUCUGUUAUAUCUACCUUUUGAUACCAUACUAACAUUUUAUGGAUGUGGCCUUAUCCCUUUUUGCAAAUUUGUAAUGGCACACCGUAAACAAGUAAAUUUACAAACUGUAAAACAAUACCUGGGUCAGCAUUUUGAUUUCCCAGCCCCUAGUUCCCCUAUUUUCUGUGAAUCAAACUUUGGCAAGCAUUGCUAAGUGUGUGAUACUGUUACACAUAGUAAUGCCUUUAAUGGGCUUAUUUCUCUUACGUGUAUUUAUUUAAUGCGACUCACUGCGAUUUUAUGCACAGUUUGAUUCCGAGAUUAUGUUCUUUAAUCAUUCCUACCCCCAUCUCUCGCUCUCUUUCAACAGGUAUUUUCAGGCACACUUGUUAGAAUUUGAUUACAUUUGCAUUACAAUUCUUUCCUUUAUAGUUGGCUUUUUUAUGAUUAAGGCUUCCACUCAGAAUGGCUCUUUUCAUGUGUUUUUCCCCAAAAUAAAGAUUUCAUACCCGGGCACUUGGACAGAUUUUUUUUUUUUAAUGCUUCUAGACAGUGGCUAUCUUAAAUCUAUUCUGUCACACAGCCUUGCUUCACAGAUCUGGUUUACUGGAUCAAACCUUUCAGAAAUGAAUGACAAAGCACAUGUGAUGGAGAACACGUUUUGUAGCAAUGAGUGAAGCUCUGUGAGCUACGCACCCCAUUUGCAGACCCUACAAAGGAAAGUGCCUUUCAUAAGUUUAAAAGGAAGAAGCCUCUUAACGAGGCACAUGACAGAAACAUUUCUAAACUCCAAAACUACAUGUGUGGGUGGAUUCGUUUGUAAUUACAGCAAUUUUAUGAAAUGCACAAGAGCAUUAUUACCUUCCCAGACACUUGCGGAUUUCUGUUAAAAAUCCCAGAUGUUUAUGAAAAAGUAAUAGGCUUUGUGUUUUUCUACUUCUAAAGAUGGAUUUUUACAAAAUGCCACACCCCUUUGAGUUUUUGUCUCGCUUCUCAAGGGAGCUCUCUUGCCCAUCUUUUCUAUUGAGACAGAAACAGUGAAAGCCUUUAGGCUGUCAUUGUAACCAUUCACAGAACUGUAGAUGAAAGGGACCACAACAGCCAUCUAGUCCCCUUGCAAUACAGGAAUCAUUUGCCCAAUUGGGGCUUCAAACCCAUGACCCUGAGGUAAGGCGCGGGGUAGAGAAGUUGAAUAGAAUGGCAUUCUGAACACUUCACAUACACAGAGGUGUACCUAGAGUCCCUUGUGCUGUAUCAGUGGUGCCCCCAGGGAAAAAAAUGCUUUACUGCUAUAGCCAUAUUACAAAUUAUUACAUUUUGUGUGACCCUAGCACUCAAAGCAUUUGGAGUGAGGGCAAGGCAAAGAGGAAGGUCAGAAAGAUUCACAUGCUUUUGUGUCAUGAUGCGAGAAGGGCAGGAAGCUUCUCCCACAUUCGAUCUCACUGUGACAGUGCCAGCAUAUCACAACACACAUAAAUACACCAUAAACUCCAUAGUCUGACUGGUGAUUUUUGUGUCUGUGCGUGCAUGCAUGCGCGCGUGCACACUCACACACACACACACACACACACACACACACACACACUGGACCUGUGCUCACAGCGGAGGCCAGUUUCACCAACCCUAGGUAAGCCUCUGCACAUACGUUAUCUCAGCAAUCCAUACAACAAGUUUAUAAGGUAGGUGAGCAGAGGACCAAACCUCCCAUUAGACAGAGUGAGGUGACCACCUCAGGUGGCAAAUUCUGAGGGAAGUGGUGUCAUUGCAAGGUAUUGGCAGAUAGUACAAUGCUGCAUGUGGCCUACUGUACAUCUCCUAAGCAAGCCUGGUGCCCUCAAGUACGGUGGAGGAUGUUGUCCUGUUGCUCUUGCUGAAGGAAGAUUCAUCUGCUAGUCUACUCAGUUUUCCAUUUUCUUCCUUGCCUCAGGCAGCAAAAUAUCUUGGGCUGACCCUGGAUCAGUACUAUCAUUGGAGCAUGGCAGAUGGAAAACUGAGGCAGAGCUAGUCAGUGAAAGAGAAAGAGAGGAUUUCAAGGAAACAGUGAAUGCAUCAUUGAGGCAAGACUUGAACUUGGGAUUUCCCUCAAGCCGCAUAAACAUAUUGGCACUAAAGACUUAGAAAAGGCCUAAGAAAAAGUAUUUUUUAAAGACUUUAAAAAGGAGAAGAAUAGUGCCAAGAAAGAUAUGUACCAUAUUUUUCUGUGUAUAAGACGAGGUUUUGUUAUUAAAAUAUGUUGAAAUUUGGGGCUUGUCUUAUACACGGGUAGUGCAUUGGGGGGGGGGUUAUGUUGCUUCCGGAAGCCAGAGAGUGUUUGUGGCUAUUGCGCAUGUUAUUGUUGGAUGCAGCAAGGACUGGGCUUGAUUGGCUGUAGCUGUGGCAGUUGGGCGGGCACUUGGCGGCUUCUGCUGGUGAGGGGACAGUGGAUAGGAGGCGUUUGUGAUACGUGUGAGUGGCAUUGUAGGUUUGGCAGCUGAGCGAUUUUUGAUAAUCCCCCCUAAAAAAGCUUGACAACUCUGGGCCACCCCCAGAGGGGUCCCGCAAAAUAGGGGACAUCUUAUACAUGGGGGCAUGUUAUACACAGAAAAAUAUGGUACCCCAGCACCAUAUGCUACCAGAAGAUAUUCUGCAAGUCUAAUAUCGAA
Molecule: non-coding RNA, 4953 nt
Organism: Podarcis lilfordi (Lilford's wall lizard)
Lineage: Eukaryota; Metazoa; Chordata; Lepidosauria; Squamata; Lacertidae
Source: the annotation of a GenBank genome assembly